GCCUCCUUAGCUCAGCGGCCAGAGCGCUCGCCUUGUAAGCGAGUGGUCGAGGGUUCGACUCCCUCAGGAGGCUCCA
RNAcentral lists this transfer RNA (76 nucleotides) under Tessaracoccus flavescens. RNAcentral's name for it is "tRNA-Thr". It matches the Rfam family "tRNA". Rfam says of the family: Transfer RNA (tRNA) molecules are approximately 80 nucleotides in length. Their secondary structure includes four short double-helical elements and three loops (D, anti-codon, and T loops). The record is from RNAcentral. Lineage: Bacteria; Bacillati; Actinomycetota; Actinomycetes; Propionibacteriales; Propionibacteriaceae. RNAcentral also lists the same sequence under 11 other names.